RNAcentral lists this microRNA precursor (275 nucleotides) under Oryza rufipogon (brownbeard rice). RNAcentral describes it as "MIR821 microRNA precursor family". It matches the Rfam family "MIR821 microRNA precursor family". Lineage: Eukaryota; Viridiplantae; Streptophyta; Magnoliopsida; Poales; Poaceae. The record is from Rfam by way of RNAcentral.
GAUUUCAAUUGAAAAAGUCAUCAACAACAAAGUUGAAUAACUCAUCAAGAUCUAAAACUUUUAUUUUGGUCAUUUCUUCAUACGACAAAGUGAUAGUAACAUUGUUCACAAAAUUGACAUAUCUCUUAUCUGGUUUUAUAAACUAUAACACAUGUAUGUAAAAUUUGUGAAUAAUAUUACUAACAUUUCGUCGGAUGAAGAAAUAACAAAAAUAAAAGUUUUAUAUCUUGAUGAGUUAUUCAACUUUGUUGUUGAUGACUUUUUCAAUUGAAAUC